GUUUCAAUCCCUCAUAGGUUCGAUUCAAAC
This 30-nucleotide non-coding RNA is filed under the name Candidatus Kryptonium thompsonii. Lineage: Bacteria; Pseudomonadati; Candidatus Kryptoniota. The record is from RNAcentral.